This is a non-coding RNA of Myodes glareolus (Bank vole), 1633 nucleotides long. NCBI's taxonomy places the organism in Eukaryota, Metazoa, Chordata, Mammalia, Rodentia, Cricetidae. The record is from RefSeq and is a predicted model, not a curated record.
AUGACUGGAAGCAGUAACCAAGUAUGUCGACAAGGGCAGAGUAGUGCAUCUCGCCAGCAGCUGGAGUCGUCUUCAACCCCCAAACAGUACUUCCAAACUUGUGGGGUGCGUGGGCUCCGGGCCUUAUGGGGACUCAGCCCUUCAGGGUCGCUACCCCAGGCACAGCUUCUCCUGUGCAGCUUCCCCUGUGAGUUGCGCCCGCCGCGGUCCAUCUGGCCAGAGACUAUGCGUCGCCGAAGGCUGGCACUGCAAAUCGUAGCUGUCAUCGGUGCCGUGGUGGAUGUCCCCAGCUCGGUGAGGGAUUACCACCCAUCCUAAAUGCUCUGGAAGUGCAGGGCAGGGAGACUAGACAGCACUUGGGGGAGAGUACGAUCAGAACCAUUGCUGUGGAUGGUACUGAAGGCUUGGUUAGAGGCCAGAAAGUACUGGUUUCAGGUGCACCAAUCAAAAUUCCCAUUGGUCCAGAGACCUUGGGCCGAAUCAUAAACAUCAAUGGAGAACCUAUUGAUGAGCGAGGUCCAAUCAAAACCAAACAAUUUGCUCCCGUUCAUGAAGCUCCUGAGUUCAUAGAGAUGAGUGUUGAACAGGAAAUCCUGGUGACUGGUAUAAGGGUUGUGAAUUUGCUUGUCCCGUAUGUCAAAUUGGACUUUUCGGUGGCGCUCACGUUGGAAAGACAGUACUGAUCAGGGAGUUAAUCAACAAUGUCGCUAAAAGCCAUGGUGUUUACUCUGUGUUUGUUGGUGUUGGUGAGAGGAUCCGUGAGGGCAACGAUUUAUACUAUGAAAUGAUUGAAUCUGGUGUUAUCAACCUAAAAGAUGCCACCUCCAAGGUGGCGUUGGUAUAUGGUCAGAUGAAUGAACCACCUGGUUCUCGUGCCUGGAUAGCUCUGACUGGUCUUACCGUUGCUGAAUACUUCAGAGACCAAGAAGGUCAAGAUGUCUUGCUGUUUAUUGACAACAUCUUCCGCUUCACCCAGACACUCAGAGGUGUCUGCCUUAUUGGGCAGAAUCCCUUCUGCUAUAGUCUACCAGCCCACCCUAGCCACUGACAUGGGUACAAAGCAGGAAAGAAUCACCACCACCCAAGAAGGGGUCCAUCACCUCUGUGCAGGCUAUCUAUGUGCCUGCUGAUGGCUCGACUGAUCCUGCCCCUGCAACUACCUUUGCCCAUUUGGAUGCCACUACUGUGCUGUCUCGUGCUAUUGCUGAGCUGGGCAUCUAUCCAGCUGUGGUUCCUCUGGACUCCACCUCUCAAAUAAUGGAUCCAAAUAUUGUUGGCAGUGAGCAUUAUGAUGUUGUGCGAGGGGUGCAGAAGAUCCUGCAGGACUACAAAUCUCUCCAGGACGUCAUUGCCAUCUUGGGUAUGGAUGAACUUUCUGAGGAAGAUAAGCUGACUGAGUCCUGGGCAAGAAAAUACAGUGCUUCUUGUCUCAGCCAUUCCAGGUUGCUGAGGUCUUCACAGUACAUAUGGGAAAGCUGGUGCCCUUGACGGAGACCAUUAAAGAUUCCAGCAGAUUUUGGCAGGUGACUAUGACCAUCACCCAGAACAAGUUUUCUAUAUGGUGGGACCCAUUGAAGAGGCUAUGGCAAAGGCUGAUAAACUGGCAGAAGAGCAUGCAUCUUGAAGGGUCCUU